Molecule: small nuclear RNA, 185 nt
Organism: Hyla sarda
Lineage: Eukaryota; Metazoa; Chordata; Amphibia; Anura; Hylidae
Product: U2 spliceosomal RNA
Exons: 1
Source: RefSeq, a predicted model, not a curated record
AUUGCUUCUCUGCCUUUUGGCUAAGAUCAAGUGUAGUAUCUGUCCUUAUCAGUUUUAUCGGUGGACCAGACACCAUCGAUGUGAGACUGGUGAGGAUGGGUGCUGCAUGGAGGGGGCAGGUAUACCAGGGUAUUCCGGGCUGGUUCUGAUGAAUCAGCUUGAUGGCUGCCCCGAAUCGACCUGUU